CAGUACUUGAAACACAAUAGGUAUUUGUAAUUGGCUGGACAAGUCACAUGGCAAUAUUCUUUUUCCUGUGGCUUAAUGAGUGUGUUAGUGUACAUACUGGUGCUUGUAAAUGCAGAAUUAUAUCACUAUGUGAAUAUUCAUGCAUGUUAUAUUGUUAUCCUCUUCCCCUAAGUAGCUGUGCCAGCAAAACUCUCUUUUAUGAAUAUCUGUAGAAGAGAAAUAAAAGAGGCAGUAUGUUGGAGGUAAAUAAUUUGACCAUUUGUGCUAAUAUUCAUAUUAAAUGUUUUGCAGGGUUUGCCCAGCCUUGCUUAAGAACAUCUUUCCUAGAAAUGAAUGGAGAAUUUCUGUGAUACUCCCCUCCUUGCUUCUAAGAGGAAGUGCAGAAAUAAAUGGAGACCUGCCAAGCACAAACUGGUGUACAGGACUUGCCUGUGGUCAUCUUCUCUGGAAGAAGGAUUGGAGGUGAAAAUUAGGAGGUGAAAGGCCACAGCAGAGACCUACAGCCACAAACUGCCCUGCAAACCAUCCCUGUUUCUACAGACUCUCAGUGUUAAAGUCAAGUGCUUGUGAAUUUGGGUAGGGGGGAACAACCAUGUCCCUUUUAGCUGCUGCCUCUCAGCUGUUACGUGCUUUCACUUCACCAGAAGGCUCACUGGCUAGAGAUCGCUGACCAAAGCAAAUUCUCCUGCCUUUCAAGCUGUCUAAUUUGAGCACAUGCCUCAUCAGUUUUGGUUAAUUACGGACGUUACUAAUGAGGAAGCAUAUGGAAUGUGCAAACAUGGUGUGUCACACACAAGGACGACAGCAUUGUCUGGAGAGUGAUCCCCUGUUUUGCUACAAUCUCAAUUUAUUGAAAUAAAUCAAUCCAGGGGCCAUGUAUAAUGCA
Molecule: long non-coding RNA, 886 nt
Filed under: Anas platyrhynchos platyrhynchos (common mallard)
Lineage: Eukaryota; Metazoa; Chordata; Aves; Anseriformes; Anatidae
Description: lncRNA (ENSAPLG00000024753.1)
Source: RNAcentral